This is an RNA transcript of Pyrus x bretschneideri (Chinese white pear), 765 nucleotides long. It is a transcript of the gene named beta-arabinofuranosyltransferase RAY1-like, with no coding region annotated. The record is from RefSeq and is a predicted model, not a curated record. The transcript has 3 exons. NCBI's taxonomy places the organism in Eukaryota, Viridiplantae, Streptophyta, Magnoliopsida, Rosales, Rosaceae.
GGUUCCACCAAGGCGUUCAAAACCAUUAGACUUUCCUUUCUCCUUGGAGACACUUGUACCGUUAAAUGCACACAAAAAUAACACAAUUGUGCUUGCUGCUGCGGGAUAUAGUUACAAGGACAUGCUAAUGAGCUGGGUGUGCAGAUUGCUGCCAAUUGCAAAUCACAAAUUUUAUCAUUUGUGCCCUUGACAAGGAAAUAUACGAGUUUGCUGUCUUGCAGGAAGUUUCGAUAUUUACUCUGUGUGAAGUUUCGGGCCUACCUGUUUUCAGGGAUCCAUUAGCUCCGAGUGAGAUCAGCAGCGAUUGCCACUUUGGAACAAAAUGUUUUCAGAAGGUGACCAAAGUGAAGUCCCGAAUGGUUUUGAAGAUACUGACGCUGGGUUACAACGUGCUUCUUAGAGAUGUGGAUGUAUAUUGGUUUGGAAAUCCGCUGCCAUUGCUCUACUCUCUUUGCCCUGCUAUUCUUGUCGUUCAAUCUGAUGAAUUCAACACGACAGGACCAAUUAACGUACCUAGGCGCUUGAACUCUGGCUUUUACUUUGCCCGUCCUGGUAGUUCGACAAUCAAUGCUAUGAAGAAGGUGGUGGCACAUGCACCAACUUCGGGUCUAUCUGAGCAGCCGCUUCUACGACACGCUAUGUGGAGAAGGGGGUUCCAAUCGUGUGGGUGACAAUAAAUGCUUGGAACCUGAAACAAAUGUGACUGUCCAUUUCUUGGACAGAGAUCCCUUCCCAAAUGGCGCAUAUCUGGACCUGUGGCAGAGG